GGGUCUUUAGCUCAAUGGUAGAGCAUUAGAUUGCAGAUCAAGAGGUCAUUGGUUCAAAGCUGCUAGGGCCCU
Ipomoea nil (Japanese morning glory) is the source of this 72-nucleotide transfer RNA. It matches the Rfam family "tRNA". From Rfam's summary of the family: Transfer RNA (tRNA) molecules are approximately 80 nucleotides in length. Their secondary structure includes four short double-helical elements and three loops (D, anti-codon, and T loops). Lineage: Eukaryota; Viridiplantae; Streptophyta; Magnoliopsida; Solanales; Convolvulaceae. The record is from Rfam.